Gorilla gorilla gorilla (western lowland gorilla) is the source of this 8166-nucleotide long non-coding RNA. RefSeq lists it as uncharacterized. The transcript is spliced from 2 exons. Lineage: Eukaryota; Metazoa; Chordata; Mammalia; Primates; Hominidae. The record is from RefSeq and is a predicted model, not a curated record.
GCGACGCCGCCCCGCCCCGAGCGGAUGCCACCCCGUUUCCAGCCUCCGGUGCUCACCGUAAUGCUCACAACAAUCUAGCAAAGUGGGGAUCAUCUUCACCACUGUACAGAUGAAGAAAUUGAAGGUCAGACAUUCAAGGUUAUGUGGCCACAUGAGAGAAAUACCAGAGCUGGGAUGAAGACUCACGGCCCUCAGACACCAGGUUCCUUCUUGAGAGAAGCCGGAUGGAUGUGCAUGCAGGGAGGUGAGCCUCAAAGCAGGUCCAGCUUUCUCCCGUGAGUGUUCUAGUGGCUUAGGGUUAGAGUUAGGGUCCAGAGGAGGAGAGGCGUCCAGAGCUGGGGACGUCUGCGUUUUGCCUUGCUGUCCCAGAGUGGCAGCAAGGAGUGGCCUGGCCUAGAGGGUCUUUGUCUUAUCUUGUGACUUGCUGUUUCUCCUCUGUCUGCAGGAGCUGGGGGAGGUUGGAGAAGCCGCAGCCCAGAAGGGGAGGGAGGACACCAUGUCAGAGCUUGCUGGAGCAAGCUUUGGAGGAAGGCCACAGGGGACAUUGUCACCAAGGGCCACGGCAGCGUGCACCCUGGGUUAGAGAAAGGGGCAAAUUAUGGAUAUGAAAAAUGCUUCCCUCAAUGAAAAGGACCCUGCUGAGACAGGAUGGCUGUGGGCCAAAUACCCCUACAGUGCCUGAUUCUUUUAUCUUAUUAUUUAUUUAAACAAGACCAGCAUUUUGCUUUAGAUAGAAAAUCUCUCUCUGCUACAAAAUUGCAAGCCCUGGGAAAAGUCUCCAAGAAUGGCUGAUGCCACAAUCAAACAAUAACAUACAUGUCGGGGUGAAACAGUGCAUAGGGGAUGAAAAAAGGGAAAAGCUCGAGGCCCUGGGAGGAAGGAGCUGGGAGGGCGGAGGGUGUGGAGGUGUGAGGGCCCAGAGGGAUUGCCCAGGAAGGUAUGGAGGACCGAAAAUGGAUCACCAGCCCUCAUGGACAACUUAAACUAAAGGUGAAAGAGACAGAAAAGCUGGCAGGGGGAAUUGUCUCCAGCCAACCUGUCAACUUUUGGAAAAAGAUGGAUCACAAAGAAUGGGAAGUGGAAGAGAAGCAGAGAAGAAACCAAGAAUAAAGAGCAGACACUGUGGGCAGAGCUGUGGGGCGCCCAUGCUGGCAGAGCUGGGUUCUAGGGCCCUGGUUUCGGCUGUGUAACCGCUUGCCCAGCCCUCAUCUCAUCCCUCAACAAUGAGGGCCUGGCAAGGGAGGGUAUCUGAACUAUUUUUGUCUCAUGUAUUUGUGGACUCUGUCCAAAAGCUCUGAGAUGCCAAGUUAAAAUGGAGAAGGUUUGAGUCACCGCCACCGGGCCAGAGCCUCAGUGAGUGGGACGCCAGGGCUGGGGUGGGGUUGCAUGGGUGGGGGGCUGCAGAGUUGCUGUUGAUUCACGCAGCUUCUCUGGGGUCUGGAUCUCAGUUUGGCUGUGAGGCUAAGCCCUGAAUGGGUGCAUAGCAAUGUUAUUCUGGAGUGCUAACAGCCUACCCUUGCCACCCACGUCUUAGAGACAUUAGAAAGUUGGGUAAAACAUUCCCCACCUCCCUCUGAUUUUUCUGGAGUAGACUGUGAUGAGGAGAUGGUCAGUUUCCAAUAAAGUCAGCACCUUCCAUGAAAAAUGACUUUCCCUGAAAGUUGUUUUGGAGUGUUAAAGAAAAAUAUCUUCAAAAUUCUUUGCCACUUUUUGAGCCCGAUUCCAGAUGUUUGGCAUAUCCUAAAUUAUCCACAUUAAGCUUCGAUAAUCCUAGGAGGUAGAUACUGUUAUUCCCAUUCCGCGGAUGCAGAAACUGAGGCCCUCACUAAUGCUGGGACCACUCAUGGUCACAGCUGGUGGUGGUGGAAUUGGGAUUUGAAGUCAGAUCUCUGAUUCAGAACUUGGGUACUUCUUUCAUAUUUCCUUUUCCUCCUUUAUUCAAAGUAGCUUAAUUGCUUUUGUAAAAUAAACGUGAACAUCACCCCAAAUGCCGCCAUCCAGGGAUAACCAGGAACAGUUUAAUGAAUAUCCUUCAAGACCUGUCUUUCUUGCACUAACUUGAAUUCAAGCUUGUCAAUACCCAGAUUAUUCCUUCUUGAAAGUCGGUCCUAUGCAUUUAAUUGAAUUGAAGUUGGUGGCUUUUCCUGCUCUUGACAUUUGCCUGAGUUGGCCUCGGGAUUCUGCAAAGGAAGCGCCUUCUGGGCUGCAGCUUUCUCUUUCCCUACUCCCCGUGGUGUCUGCUCCUCACCUCAGUCAGAUAAGACCUUGGUCCUCCUUUCCAUGCCCCCGGAAAGGACCCAACUAGCUCUUCCAAAGAUGCGCUUGGAAUUCCCGGACAGCUAAGGGAUCAGCUGCCAGGACGGGGCUGUUGCACGGUUGGCGUGUGGGGGCCGGUGUUCCGUGGAAGGUGUCUAGAGAUGGGCCGCCUCCUCCAUCUUCCCCAGGCCUCCUUCACCUGUGGGCAGGAGAUGUUUGUGACGUUCCUUCUGGUCAGCAGGACUUCAGGAAGAGCCGCCGCUAAGCCUGGGGGCAGGACUAGCCAGGCUCCCUACUGAGGCCUUCUCAUGUUCCUGACAAGGCCGUGGGUAAGCUUACUCGCCCAUUUUCCACCUGCGGAAAUGGGUUCAUAAGUUCAAACAUGCACAGCUGCAGGUGGGUGUCAGGAUUUGGGAUCUGGGCUCAGAGCCUGCAUUCACAUCACAACAUCACUACACUUCACUGCUUCCCUUGGCCACAUCUCCAUCACAUCUGAAGGGUUUUGUAUUCAAGGAGUCUUUUAAAAAUAACAAUUUUUGACCAGGAAGAAUUAGGACUGAGCAAGACUUAGUCAUAACAAACAGACAGACACAUCCACGCUCCACACCCUGGGCUGUGUAGAUGUGGCCUACCCCCUUCUUUUUGAAGUGCCUGUAAAUAAAUAAACCUGUGCCGAGCUGGGCUCAAAAUUGAGUGGUUUACCCACGUUUGACAUCCAGCGCAACCUGUGAAAGCUGUUUUGUUUUUAUUAUUGUGCAAAAAGUGUUCUAAUUACAAUAUGCUUUUCUGAGUCAGAAGAGAACGGUAAACCAUUUGGCUAUGGAGUGAUAUUUGUGAAAUCCCACUGGAAGAGAUUAUAAACUGAUUUUAAUGCACUUUUACUAAUGGUUUAAUAAUCCUAAGGAGAACUGACUGAGCCCUCAUAAUGAAUGAAGAAUUUUGAUGGCAGGAUCCGUAAGUGCUGAUGUUAGAGAAGGUCAAUGGAUUAGUGAGUCAGAUGCUUCCAGGGGCUUGUAUGAGUCAGGAAAAACAGGUCAUGCUGUGGAAACAAACCCCAAGGUCUCAGUGACGUAAGAAAAGUUUACCUCUUGCUCAUUAAAGGCUGGGUCAGGCAGCUCUCCAGGCCAACUCUCCUCGGGUGAGCGGGAUCCUUGCCACUUCCAUCUUGUAGCUGGGCCGUCUGGAGCCCCUGGCUUCCAGCAUUGCUAAAGUGAGGGAGAGGGGGUGAGAGGACUGGCGGGAAGGUCUAAGACCAUAUUGUAAUGUAUAAACUAGAAUGUAUACAUUCUACUGUAUAAAUUGAUUCUACCCAAGAGGUACAAGGGCUGGUUAAGAGCUGCUGUGCAGGUCAGAUAGAGUCAUCACACCUUUAGGUUGUGUCUUCAUUUUCUCUCAAAUACAUUAACAUAUUUUUUUAGAAUAGUUUCAGAAUUUUCGAAGCAAAACUGGAGUCUGUGAUGGUAAGCACUUGUCAUUGGAUUUAGGGUCCACUCUGAUCCAAGAUGAUCUCAUCUCCAAUCCCCAACUUAAUUAUGUCUGCAAAGACUCCAAAUAUCAUCACAUUCACAGGUUAUGGGUGGAUGUAUUUUUUUUGCGGGGGGACACUAUUCAACCCACUACAACCACCAUCUAGAAAGGACAGAUGUUAGCAUCCUAUCCUAGGUGACCCAGGUAUUUUUCAUAACAAAAUUCAACAUUUAAGAGAGCAUGAGAAGUAUAGUUUGAGGACUUGGCUCAUGCCAUUGUGGGGCUGGCAAGUUCCCACAGUGCAGGUUUAGCUGGCAGGCUGGGGACUUAGGGAAGCUGUCUUUGAGUCUAAAGACCAUCUGCUGGGAACAUUCCCUCUGGCUCAAGGAAGGUCAGUCUUUUCCUUAAGGCCUUCAAAUGAUGGGAUGAGGCCCACUCACAUCAUGGAGGAUACUCUGCUUUGCUGAAAGUCUCCUGACGUAAAUUAAUCCAUGAAAAAACACCUGCACAGAAACAUAUAGAAUAGUGUUUGACCAGAUGUCUGGGUACUGUGGCCUAGCCAAAUGAACACCUAAAAUUAACCUUCACACAACACAACACUGAAACCACGUCCUCAUACAAGUUUCCUUCCUCUAGGGGCGUGUUUUUCAGACCACGGUUCACGAACAUGAACGGAUCACAAAAUAAAUGUAGUGGGUCCUGACUGGCAUUUUAUAACUUGUCAGAUGGACUUGAUCCUGUAGAUAACAAUUAUGACUGUUUCAGUACACAAGUAAUAGAAGAGUACGCAGUCUCUGCAAAACCAAAACCAUAUUGAGAGACAAACAACACAAGCUGAUAUUGUCAGACUUUUUAAAAUGUGGCCAUUUUGGCGGGGCACGGUGGCUCACGCCUGUAAUCCCAGCAAUUUGGGAGGCUGAGGCAGGUGGAUCACCUGAGGUCAGGAGCUCAAGACUAGCCUGGCCAACAUGGUGAAACCCUGUCUCUACUAAAAAUACAAAAAUCAGCCAGGUGUGGUGGUGCACGCCUGUAGUCCCAGCUACUUGAGAAGCUGAGGCAGAAGAAUUGCUUGAACCUAACAGGCAGAGGUUGCAGUGAUUCGAGAUCACGCCACUGCACUCCAGCCUGGGUGACAGAGUCAGUGAGACUCUGUCUCAAAAAAAUAAAAAUAAAAAAAGGAAUGUGGCCAUUUGAAGGGUGAAAAGGGCACUCCAAUUUCUCAAUUUGUGUUUUCUUGAUUAUGAAGAGCUUGAGUGUUUCUUUGAUUAUUAUUGAUUAAUUGGGUUUCUUCUGAGCAUCACAUUCUUUAAAGAUCAAGCUGGAGUCAAGUCCCUUUUCCAGACCCGAGACAACGUCUGUCCCCUGCCCUUAGAGGCAGCUCUUGGAGUGUUCGGCUGGGCUCCUCCCUGCAGCCCCAACUCCUUACCACGACCGUUCACAUUCACACUGAGCAUCAAACCUCAAUAAGCAAUAGUCCUCUAGCUUCACAAAUCAACUUUUAGGGACUCUUCCUACCCACAAACAUUUCGUAAAUCUCGCUGCACCUCUGUGACCUACUGAUAGUGCUAGGGUGCCCACUUUCCUCUCCUUCCCCCGGCUCCCACCUCUUCCUCCUACUACUCCCUGGCUCGCUUAGUUCGGCGGCUCAGUGAGGUUUCUCACCCUCAGCACUUCGGACAUCAGGGCCAAACACUUCUUUGUUAUGGGUGCAGUCCUGUGCGGAUAUUUAACAGCAUCCCUGGCCUCUACCAAGAGGAGAUGCCAAGAGCACCUCCUCCCCAGCACUGAUAAUCAAAAUGUCUCCAGACAUUGCCAGAUGUCCCCUGGGCAGACAAAGUCACUCCCAGUUGAGAACCACUGACUUAAUUAAAGACCAAAAUUAAGUGCUGGUGGCAGAUACUCAGAGAAAAUACUUGUCCGUCCAGCAAAUACUGAAACCGAAAAGAGAAGAUAUUUGAACGCGUCGCUGACCCACCUGAUUCAGUCCCUUCUAGUGUUGCCUGCUUUCUGGUUGCUCUAAAUGUUUAGGCUUUGGCCAGGGUUUAUUUCUCUACCUGGGUACGUAUGUAGGAGUAGUUUCAGGAGAAAAAUAUUAUGUUCAUGACAAAUCGAGAGCAAAUAUAGAAAGGAUCUGUCUUUUAUUUCUAUGGCAGGAAAUGAUAGCUACCUAAAGGGGAGGUUUGCUUAAAUUUUCUGUCUUUUAAAUUGAAUUUUCUCUUGCUUUCACAGUUGGGACUGGGCUGCCAGAUGUUAUUAGUGUAGUUUGCCUUUUGAUGUUAAGGGAAGCUUAAGGCAACCAAGAUAACACAAGAAUAAGUCCUCCUUCAUCCACAGGUCAGAUAUAUGUCAAUCAUUACACUCUGAGACCAAGUUGAGAUCCUGAAAGAAGCAAAAAUAUUUUACAAAGUGCCCAGAUGCACAUCAUGGGGUGCAUUGCCAGGAUGUUUUUGACCUUUACUCACAGGGAGUCUUUCUCCACACUGGGACUCCUGGUUGAGUAUAAUUCUAACCAGUUUGAUUAUUGGCUUCCCCCGCAGUCAUUAGGAAAGGGUAGAUGCCUCAGGCGAGUGCAUUGAAAGUAGAUAAAAAUGACUGCCUACAACCUGAUGGAAGAAGACAAAGAACAACAACAAAUCUAAGGGGAAUACAAAAACAUCUCCAGACCUCAGAAAGCUUAGCAUCCUGAGGUUACCCCAUAUUUUGGAUAAGGUGUCAUAAACACUUCAUUCAUCCCUGUGAGUGCUAUAAUGACCCAGCACAGGACUGGAUAUUUGUAAUCAUGGCACAAAACUCAUCAGGCAAGGUUAAUUUAUGUUUAAAAUAAUCAGUUCUUAUGGAUGGUGGUGAUGGUGGUACAAGACGAAUAUACUUCAUGACUCUGAACUCUAAACUUCAAAAUGGUGAGAAUAGUAAAUUUUAUGUUUUGUGUAUUUUACCACAAAAAAGAAAUCAGUUCAUAAGAGAGUUAGGAACUUCGUAAUAUAUUUCAGGAAAAAAAAUGUAACCAAAAUUUCUAAGAUUAAAAAUAAAAAUGUGCUCCUUCAAGAGUUUGCAAAAGUUAUCUUAAUGAUUCACUCAUAAAUAGUCUCUCCUCCAUCAAAGAUGCUUGAUAAAUGUCACUGGAAUUCAUUCAUUCAAAAAAAAAACCAAACAAUCAUAUUUUGAUAGAAGGAAUUGGAUGUCAUGAUUUUUGGGAAUUGGGUCUUAUUUUCAACUCUGACAAUAAAAUAUGGCUGCAAAUCUUGUGGUCUGAUAGUGUGAUUUAAAAAAAAAAAAAAAUCCCACAUUGUAAGGCUGGGCUCACUCUGUGGCCCAGGCCCAGCCUGACUCCUCUGAUGAGUGUUGGCUUAGGGUUUCCACAUGAAUAGCCAGAGUUGAUGGAUGAAUACAUUUACUGUCUGGACUGAUAACAACGAACAGAUUCCUGGUGGCAAGCACUGGACACAACCCUCACAGGCCUCUAGAGUAACCGCGUUGAUUCAGCAACAUGGCCAUUUGAGUUAAUUUUAUCAGAAUGGCAGUGGCUUUGAGAACUUACUCACACAAACCCACAGUUUGUCAUGUUCCCAAGACCACAGCAGGUAUGGUCUAAGACAGUCUGUCGAAUGAGAAAAUUCGUCAUUGUCUGUUUCCCGCUCCCUAGUCGUUAGCAAUAUGCUUUCCUGGACGUUUUUGCUUUUCCACAUUGGAAUGGGAAAAAAUCUGUUAGGAGGGGCACUGAGUAUUCACUAAGAGGUGGUACUGUGUUUGGAAAAUUAGUUGGUUUGUACAGAUCACCUGCUUUCUGGUAACUGUUUUUUAAGAUAGAUAGCUUUGACUAUUUUGGUGGGGAAGUUUGCACUGAAAUUCUUACCUUUUUUGUUUGUUUUGCGUAGUGAGAACGCUAAUAUUCUGUAAAUGAGUCUAAGCUACAUUUUACUUGAUGCGGGCAAGUAUUAUAGAUUCCUUUAAGAGCCUUCAUUUUUAUCACAUGCAAAUCACGCAGCCCAUUUUUCAGUUAGGGUAAAGGAAGCUCUAAGAAUAGGCCGAGAUCUUCCACUCAACGGGUAAAUAGAAUUUGGACAAGAGUUUGAAAAUAUCAGCCAUCAGUUUGCUUGGAAGUUUUGGGCAGCCAACUUGGAUGGAAUUCUCUGAGAAAAGAAAGGAUUUUUUUCUGAAUCAUUUCCUUAGGAGGGAACUAACCACACCAAUUUUAGUCUCAAACUUUCUAAGUUAUUUCUCAAAGUCUUUGGAGGCUAUUCAAACCAGUUCCAAAAGUUUUUAUAAAGUCGAAAUGGCUCUGAAAUCUCCUGUCCAAGUACAGAGACAUAUGCUGAAUGGAUAGGGUGUGAGGCAGUUUUCUGAGAGUUUGUUUGGAUUUCAGGAAGUGGACAAGAUAAGCUGAAUGGCCUUUUCCUGCUCUGACUCUUAAAAAAAAAAAAAAAGAAAAAAGAAAAAAAAUCU